RNAcentral lists this unclassified non-coding RNA (352 nucleotides) under soil metagenome. RNAcentral's name for it is "partial contains 5.8S ribosomal RNA, internal transcribed spacer 2, and large subunit ribosomal RNA". The stretch from base 1 to 120 matches the Rfam family "5.8S ribosomal RNA", at positions 35 to 154 of the family's 154-position model. The record is from RNAcentral.
GAUGAAGAACGUAGCGAAAUGCGAUAAGUAAUGUGAAUUGCAGAAUUCAGUGAAUCAUCGAAUCUUUGAACGCACAUUGCGCCCGCCAGUAUUCUGGCGGGCAUGCCUGUCCGAGCGUCAUUUCAACCCUCGAACCCCUCCGGGGGGUCGGCGUUGGGGAUCGGCCCUUUCACCGGGUGCCGGCCCCUAAAUACAGUGGCGGUCUCGCCGCAGCCUCUCAUGCGCAGUAGUUUGCACACUCGCAUCGGGAGCGCGGCGCGUCCACGUCCGUAAAACACCCCAACUUCUGAAAUGUUGACCUCGGAUCAGGUAGGAAUACCCGCUGAACUUAAGCAUAUCAAUAAGCGGAGGA